CGAACUGACAAAACUAUUUACGAAAAUAAGGUGUAAUAUUUCGUUAAAUGCAUUUGGAGUUUCGUUGAAACGAAAAUCCCGCCAUAAUGUUGUUGAAGAUACGGAAUAUUUGUGGGAAUUAUGAUAUAUGUAGAUUGAGAAGUUACAGGACUAGCAUGUGGUACAUUAGCAGCCAUUGACGACGAAGGACAGAAAAAAUCUGUGGACUUCAUCACUCAUCCUAAAGAGAAACACGAUCAACAAAAACCAGCCUACAUUACUAGAUAUGGACCCAAAGGAUUUGUUGUACACGGCUCUAGGGUGUUGGGCUCUUUAGCAAUUUUACCUGGUUUCUUUUUGAACUGGAAGGUUUGUGUCAUCGAAAAUUUCAUGUCAACUGGUCUUGAAACAUGAUUUAUAUUAGCCACAAUGACAUAAGGCAUCUCAUGACUGUAAGAUUAUUGUCAGAUUAUUGAUUAUUAAAGUUAAUGAAUCUUUA
Long non-coding RNA from Xenia sp. Carnegie-2017, 478 nucleotides. RefSeq lists it as uncharacterized. Lineage: Eukaryota; Metazoa; Cnidaria; Anthozoa; Malacalcyonacea; Xeniidae. The transcript is spliced from 2 exons. The record is from RefSeq and is a predicted model, not a curated record.